AACGAACGCUGGCGGCAUGCCUAACACAUGCAAGUCGAACGAAGGCUUCGGCCUUAGUGGCGCACGGGUGCGUAACGCGUGGGAAUCUGCCCUUGGGUUCGGAAUAACUCAGAGAAAUUUGAGCUAAUACCGGAUGAUGACGUAAGUCCAAAGAUUUAUCGCCCAAGGAUGAGCCCGCGUAAGAUUAGCUAGUUGGUGGGGUAAAGGCCUACCAAGGCGACGAUCUGUAGCGGGUCUGAGAGGAUGAUCCGCCACACUGGGACUGAGACACGGCCCAGGCUCCUACGGGAGGCAGCAGUGGGGAAUUUUGGACAAUGGGGGCAACCCUGAUCCAGCCAUUCCGCGUGAGUGAAGAAGGCCUCGUGU
RNAcentral lists this ribosomal RNA (366 nucleotides) under uncultured bacterium. Its description in RNAcentral is "bacterial SSU rRNA". It matches the Rfam family "Bacterial small subunit ribosomal RNA", at positions 29 to 422 of the family's 1533-position model. The record is from RNAcentral.